AGCAGAAAGACAGUUGGCUCAGAACGAACGCUGGCGGCUGGCUCAGAACUAACGCUGGCGGCUGGCUCAGAACGAACGCUGGCGGCCCACUCCUACGGGAGGCAGCAGUGGGACUCCUACGGGAGGCAGCAGUGGGACUCCUACCGGAGGCAGCAGUGGGCCCACUCCUACAGGAGGCAGCAGUGGGACAGUUGGCUCACAACGAACGCUGGCGGCUGGCUCAGAACGAACGCUGGCGGCUGGCUCAGAACGAACGCUGGCGGCCCACUCCUACAGGAGGCAGCAGUGGGACUCCUACGGGAGGCAGCAGUGGGACUCCUACCGGAGGCAGCAGUGGG
RNAcentral lists this unclassified non-coding RNA (338 nucleotides) under uncultured bacterium. Its description in RNAcentral is "partial contains 16S ribosomal RNA and 16S-23S ribosomal RNA intergenic spacer region". The record is from RNAcentral.